UUGUUCUCGGCUGAGUGGAGAGAUUUCCUUCGGGGAGGAGACAAUAAAAAGGAAGGAACCGCCGCGGCACCGCAGGCCUAAACGGCAGCGGCAGAACAACUUUCCCAUGUUUCCAUCUCCUAAAGCCUGGAAUUUCAGAGGGCGGAAACGGAAGCAGAGCCCCCAGGAUGAAGAUGCGGUUAGCCUUUGUAGUCUUGAUAUAAGUG
Odocoileus virginianus texanus is the source of this 206-nucleotide non-coding RNA. The record is from RefSeq and is a predicted model, not a curated record. NCBI's taxonomy places the organism in Eukaryota, Metazoa, Chordata, Mammalia, Artiodactyla, Cervidae.